UUUGAGUUAUUCCAACUCGAAGACUAACUCAUAAAUCAGUUUAUAACACACUGACACUAAGAAAACACAAAAAUUAUAAUUCAAUAAACUUCCUAAUACAUAUUAACUAGAAAAAGACUGUUAGACACAUGGAUGAAACAGGUUCUUCAAUUUGGUUCACUAUAUUAGGCUGCACUUCGAUAGCUAGGAAAAACUCUCUCAAAUAUUGUUCUUACUUAUUUG
RNAcentral lists this long non-coding RNA (222 nucleotides) under Capsicum annuum. RNAcentral describes it as "long non-coding RNA (CANN_LNC001537)". The record is from RNAcentral. Lineage: Eukaryota; Viridiplantae; Streptophyta; Magnoliopsida; Solanales; Solanaceae.